This 440-nucleotide ribosomal RNA is filed under the name uncultured bacterium. RNAcentral's name for it is "partial 16S ribosomal RNA". It matches the Rfam family "Bacterial small subunit ribosomal RNA", at positions 339 to 795 of the family's 1533-position model. The record is from RNAcentral.
CUACGGGCGGCUGCAGUGGGGAAUAUUGCACAAUGGAGGAAACUCUGAUGCAGCAACGCCGCGUGGAGGAUGACACAUUUCGGUGCGUAAACUCCUUUUAUAUGAGAAGAUAAUGACGGUAUCAUAUGAAUAAGCACCGGCUAACUCCGUGCCAGCAGCCGCGGUAAUACGGGGGGUGCAAGUCGUUACUCGGAAUCACUGGGCGUAAAGAGCAUGUAGGCGGAUAGAAAAGUUGGAAGUGAAAUCCUGUGGCUUAACCAUAGAACUGCUUCCAAAACUCUCUAUCUAGAAUAUGGGAGAGGUAGAUGGAAUUUCUGGUGUAGGGGUAAAAUCCGUAGAGAUCAGAAGGAAUACCGAUUGCGAAGGCGAUCUACUGGAACAUUAUUGACGCUGAGAUGCGAAAGCGUGGGGAGCAAACAGGAUUAGAUACCCGGGUAGUC